Molecule: ribosomal RNA, 797 nt
Filed under: uncultured archaeon
Lineage: Archaea
Description: bacterial SSU rRNA
Rfam family: Archaeal small subunit ribosomal RNA
Source: RNAcentral
ACGGCUCAGUAACACGUGGCCAAACUACCCUAUCGAGCGCGACUACCCUCGGGAAACUGAGGCUAAUAGCGCAUACGACUCGAUGCCUGGAACUGGCUCGAGUCCGAAAUGCCCCGGCGCGAUAGGAUGUGGCUGCGGCCGAUUAGGUAGACGGUGGGGUAACGGCCCACCGUGCCGAUAAUCGGUACGGGUCAUGAGAGUGAGAGCCCGGAGACGGAAUCUGAGACAAGAUUCCGGGCCCUACGGGGCGCAGCAGGCGCGAAACCUUUACACUGCACGACAGUGCGAUAAGGGGACUCCAAGUGCGAGGGCAUAUCGUCCUCGCUUUUUCCCACCGUAAGGUGGUGGGCGAAUAAGAGCUGGGCAAGACCGGUGCCAGCCGCCGCGGUAAUACCGGCAGCUCGAGUGAUGACCGCUAUUAUUGGGCCUAAAGCGUCCGUAGCCGGCCAGACAAGUCUAUCGGGAAAUCUCCCCGCCUAACGGGGAGGCGUCCGGUGGAAACUGUCUGGCUUGGGACCGGAAGACCAGAGGGGUACGUCUGGGGUAGGAGUGAAAUCCCGUAAUCCUAGACGGACCGCCGGUGGCGAAAGCGCCUCUGGAAGACGGAUCCGACGGUGAGGGACGAAAGCUCGGGUCACGAACCGGAUUAGAUACCCGGGUAGUCCGAGCCGUAAACGAUGUCUGCUAGGUGUGCCACAGGCUACGAGCCUGUGGUGUGCCGUAGGGAAGCCGUGAAGCAGACCGCCUGGGAAGUACGUCCGCAAGGAUGAAACUUAAAGGAAUUGGCGGGGGAGCAC